This 253-nucleotide ribosomal RNA is filed under the name uncultured bacterium. RNAcentral's name for it is "partial 16S ribosomal RNA". It matches the Rfam family "Bacterial small subunit ribosomal RNA", at positions 524 to 776 of the family's 1533-position model. The record is from RNAcentral.
UACGAAGGGGGCUAGCGUUGCUCGGAAUCACUGGGCGUAAAGGGUGCGUAGGCGGGUUUUUAAGUCAGGGGUGAAAUCCUGGAGCUCAACUCCAGAACUGCCUUUGAUACUGAAGAUCUUGAGUCCGGGAGAGGUGAGUGGAACUGCGAGUGUAGAGGUGAAAUUCGUAGAUAUUCGCAAGAACACCAGUGGCGAAGGCGGCUCUCUGGGACGGUACUGACGCUGAGACGCGAAAGCGUGGGGAGCGAACAGG